GAUGAACGCUAGCGAUAGGCUUAACACAUGCAAGUCGAGGGGCAGCAUGGUCUUAGCUUGCUAAGACUGAUGGCGACCGGCGCACGGGUGCGUAACGCGUAUGCAACUUGCCUCACAGAGGGGGAUAACCCGUCGAAAGACGGACUAAUACCGCGUACACUUGGGAUAGGGCAUCCUGACCCAAGGAAAUGAAAUUCGCUGUGAGAUAGGCAUGCGUCCCAUUAGCUAGUUGGUGAGGUAACGGCUCACCAAGGCGACGAUGGGUAGGGGAACUGAGAGGUUGAACCCCCACACUGGUACUGAGACACGGACCAGACUCCUACGGGAGGCAGCAGUGAGGAAUAUUGGUCAAUGGGCGAGAGCCUGAACCAGCCAAGUCGCGUGAAGGAUGACUGUCUUAUGGAUUGUAAACUUCUUUUAUACGGCAAUAACAAGAGCCACGUGUGGCUCCCUGCAUGUACCGUAUGAAUAAGCAUCGGCUAACUCCGUG
RNAcentral lists this ribosomal RNA (490 nucleotides) under uncultured bacterium. Its description in RNAcentral is "partial 16S ribosomal RNA". It matches the Rfam family "Bacterial small subunit ribosomal RNA", at positions 28 to 507 of the family's 1533-position model. The record is from RNAcentral.